AAAAUUGCCCAUACCUGUUUGUCAACGUCUGAUCCCGGCUGGUCUCAGAAGCUAAGCAGGACUGGGCCUGGUUAGUACUAGGGAGACCACUGGGAAUAUCAGGUGCCAC
This 109-nucleotide ribosomal RNA is filed under the name Periophthalmus magnuspinnatus. The record is from RNAcentral. Lineage: Eukaryota; Metazoa; Chordata; Actinopteri; Gobiiformes; Gobiidae.